Molecule: ribosomal RNA, 301 nt
Filed under: uncultured bacterium
Lineage: Bacteria
Description: partial 16S ribosomal RNA
Rfam family: Bacterial small subunit ribosomal RNA
Source: RNAcentral
CAGUAGCCACGGGAAUGCGAAGGGGGCUAGCGUUGUUCGGAAUUACUGGGCGUAAAGCGCGUGUAGGCGGGUCUUUAAGUCAGGGGUGAAAUGCCAAGGCUCAACCUUGGAACUGCCUUUGAUACUGGAGAUCUUGAGUCCGGGAGAGGUGAGUGGAAUUGCGAGUGUAGAGGUGAAAUUCGUAGAUAUUCGCAAGAACACCAGUGGCGAAGGCGGCUCACUGGCCCGGAACUGACGCUGAGACGCGAAAGCGUGGGGAGCAAACAGGAUUAGAUACCCCCGUAGUCCCUGUCUCUUAUAC